Molecule: ribosomal RNA, 357 nt
Filed under: Methanoplanus sp. enrichment culture clone CIBANICRA-61
Lineage: Archaea; Methanobacteriati; Methanobacteriota; Methanomicrobia; Methanomicrobiales; Methanomicrobiaceae
Description: bacterial SSU rRNA
Rfam family: Archaeal small subunit ribosomal RNA
Source: RNAcentral
CCAUUAAACGCAUCGGAAGAAAGGGCCGGGCAAGACCGGUGCCAGCCGCCGCGGUAAUACCGGCGGCUCGAGUGGUGGCCACUUUUAUUGGGCUUAAAGCGUUCGUAGCUUGAAUAAUAAGUCUCUUGGGAAAUCUGCCGGCUUAACCUGCAGGCGUUUAAGAGAAACUGUUGUUCUAGGAACCGGAAGAGGUGAGAGGUACUCCGGGGGUAGGAGUGAAAUCCUGUAAUCCCCGGGGGACCACCGAUGGCGAAGGCAUCUCACCAGGACGGCUUCGACAGUGAGGAACGAAAGCUGGGGGAGCGAACCGGAUUAGAUACCCGGGUAGUCCCAGCCGUAAACAAUGCGCGUUAGGUG